CGAGCGGUAGAGAUUCUUCGGAAUCUUGAGAGCGGCGUACGGGUGCGGAACACGUGUGCAACCUGCCUUUAUCUGGGGGAUAGCCUUUCGAAAGGAAGAUUAAUACCCCAUAAUAUAUUUAUCGGCAUCGAUGAAUAUUGAAAACUCCGGUGGAUAGAGAUGGGCACGCGCAAGAUUAGAUAGUUGGUGAGGUAACGGCUCACCAAGUCUGCGAUCUUUAGGGGGCCUGAGAGGGUGAUCCCCCACACUGGUACUGAGACACGGACCAGACUCCUACGGGAGGCAGCAGUGAGGAAUAUUGGACAAUGGGUGAGAGCCUGAUCCAGCCAUCCCGCGUGAAGGACGACGGCCCUAUGGGUUGUAAACUUCUUUUGUAUAGGGAUAAACCUACUCUCGUGAGAGUAGCUGAAGGUACUAUACGAAUAAGCACCGGCUAACUCCGUGCCAGCAGCCGCGGUAAUACGGAGGGUGCAAGCGUUAUCCGGAUUUAUUGGGUUUAAAGGGUCCGUAGGCGGAUCUGUAAGUCAGUGGUGAAAUCUCACAGCUUAACUGUGAAACUGCCAUUGAUACUGCAGGUCUUGAGUGUUGUUGAAGUAACUGGAAUAAGUAUUGUAGCGGUGAAAUGCAUAGAUAUUACUUACAACACCAAUUGCGAAGGCAGGUUACUAAGCAACAACUGACGCUGAUGGACGAAAGCGUGGGGAGCGAACAGGAUUAGAUACCCUGGUAGUCCACGCCGUAAACGAUGCUAACUCGUUUUUGGGUCUCCGAUUCAGAGACUAAGCGAAAGUGAUAAGUUAGCCACCUGGGGAGUACGUUCGCAAGAAUGAAACUCAAAGGAAUUGACGGGGGCCCGCACAAGCGGUGGAUUAUGUGGUUUAAUUCGAUGAUACGCGAGGAACCUUACCAAUGCUUAAAUGGGAAAUGACACGUUUAGAAAUAUACUUUUCUUCGUACAUUUUUCAAGGUGCUGCAUGGUUGUCGUCAGCUCGUGCCGUGACCGUUAUGUUAAGUCCUGCAACCAGCGCAACCCCUGUCACUAGUUGCCAUCAUUAAGUUGGGGACUCUAGUGAGACUGCCUACGCAAGUAGAGAGGAAGGUGGGGAUGACGUCAAAUCAUCACGGCCCUUACGCCUUGGGCCACACACGUAAUACAAUGGCCGGUACAGAGGGCAGCUACACAGCGAUGUGAUGCAAAUCUCGAAAGCCGGUCUCAGUUCGGAUUGGAGUCUGCAACUCGACUCUAUGAAGCUGGAAUCGCUAGUAAUCGCGCAUCAGCCAUGGCGCGGUGAAUACGUUCCCGGGCCUUGUACACACCGCCCGUCAAGCCAUGGAAGUCUGGGGUACCAGAAGUCGGUGACC
This 1362-nucleotide ribosomal RNA is filed under the name Chryseobacterium sp. PG-2010-2. RNAcentral describes it as "16S ribosomal RNA". It matches the Rfam family "Bacterial small subunit ribosomal RNA", at positions 63 to 1435 of the family's 1533-position model. Lineage: Bacteria; Pseudomonadati; Bacteroidota; Flavobacteriia; Flavobacteriales; Weeksellaceae. The record is from RNAcentral.